Molecule: small nuclear RNA, 182 nt
Organism: Pteronotus mesoamericanus
Lineage: Eukaryota; Metazoa; Chordata; Mammalia; Chiroptera; Mormoopidae
Product: U2 spliceosomal RNA
Exons: 1
Source: RefSeq, a predicted model, not a curated record
AUCAUUUCUUGACCUUUUGACUGAGGUCAAGUGUUGUAUCUGUUUUUAUCAGUUUAAUAUCUGAUAGGUCCUCCAUCUGAGGAUAUUAAAUUUUUUGGAGCAGGGGAUGGACUAGGAGCUUGCUCUGUCCACUCUGUGCAUUGACCAGGUAUUGCAGUACUUCCAGGAAUAGUGCAUCCCUU